This 440-nucleotide ribosomal RNA is filed under the name uncultured bacterium. RNAcentral's name for it is "partial 16S ribosomal RNA". It matches the Rfam family "Bacterial small subunit ribosomal RNA", at positions 338 to 795 of the family's 1533-position model. The record is from RNAcentral.
CCUACGGGUGGCAGCAGUAGGGAAUUUUGCGCAAUGGGCGAAAGCCUGACGCAGCAACGCCGCGUGAUCGAGACGCCCUUCGGGGUGUAAAGAUCUGUCAGUGGGGACGAAACUUGACGGUACCCACAGAGGAAGCACCGGCUAACUCCGUGCCAGCAGCCGCGGUAAUACGGGGGGUGCAAGCGUUGUCCGGAAUCAUUGGGCGUAAAGAGUUCGUAGGCGGCACGUAAAGUCUGGUGUUAAAGGCAGAGGCUCAACUUCUGUACGGCACUGGAUACUUGCGAGCUAGAAUGCGGUAGAGGUAAAGGGAAUUCGUGGUGUAGCGGUGAAAUGCUUAGAUAUCACGAAGAACUCCGAUUGCGAAGGCAGCUUACUAAACUGCCACUGACAUUGAUGCUCGAAAGUGUGGGUAUCAAACAGGAUUAGAUACCCGGGUAGUC